UGGGGGAUAUUGCACAAUGGGCGAAAGCCUGAUGCAGCGACGCCGCGUGGGGGAUGAAGGCCUUCGGGUUGUAAACUUUUUUUGCUCUGAACAAGGCGCACCAUGGGGUGUGUUGAGUGUAGGGGUUGAUUAGCGCCGGCUAACUACGUGCCAGCAGCCGCGGUAAUACGUAGGGCGCGAGCGUUGUCCGGAAUUAUUGGGCGUAACGGGCUUGUAGGUGGCUGGUUGCGUCUGUCGUGAAAGCUCAUGGCUUAACUGUGGGUUUGCGGUGGGUACGGGCUGGCUUGAGUGCAGUAGGGGAGGCUGGAAUUCCUGGUGUAGCGGUGGAAUGCGCAGAUAUCAGGAGGAAUACCGGUGGCGAAGGCGGGUCUCUGGGCUGUUACUGACACUGAGGAGCGAAAGCAUGGGGAGCGAACAGG
RNAcentral lists this ribosomal RNA (419 nucleotides) under bacterium. RNAcentral describes it as "partial 16S ribosomal RNA". It matches the Rfam family "Bacterial small subunit ribosomal RNA", at positions 355 to 776 of the family's 1533-position model. The record is from RNAcentral.